Cydia pomonella (codling moth) is the source of this 329-nucleotide long non-coding RNA. RefSeq lists it as uncharacterized. The record is from RefSeq and is a predicted model, not a curated record. The transcript is spliced from 2 exons. Lineage: Eukaryota; Metazoa; Arthropoda; Insecta; Lepidoptera; Tortricidae.
GCCCUAAAAGCCGGACAUGUUUUUUUUAUUGCCAAACAUAAUGUUUUUACAGCUGGGCUGUUGAAAAAAGUAUCUGACAAAAAGCCUGACAAAAGCCGGACAGGCCGAACACGUACAUAUUUGGCCGGACGCGACCGCAAGAAGCCAAACAUGUCCGGCUAAAGCCGGACACCUGGCAAGCCUAUUCGCGAGUGGCUGUCUAGACUGAUAGAGACGGUAAACAGACAAGGGUAUCAACAUUUGGGCCGCCAUUUUGUGAACAAUAUCAGUACUGUUCAGUGACUGUGACGAAUGAUUUUUGAAAUAAAAUAAAGGCUUUGAACCUCUGA